AGCGAACGCUGGCGGCAUGCUUAACACAUGCAAGUCGCACGAUCGGUUUCGGCCGGUAGUGGCGGACGGGUGAGUAACGCGUAGGUAUCUAUCCAUGGGUGGGGGAUAACAGCGGGAAACUGCUGCUAAUACCGCAUGACACCUGAGGGUCAAAGCUGGCAACAGCGCCUGUGGAGGAGCCUGCGUACGAUUAGCUUGUUGGUGGGGUAAAGGCCUACCAAGGCGACGAUCGUUAGCUGGUCUGAGAGGAUGAUCAGCCACAUUGGGACUGAGACAC
Molecule: ribosomal RNA, 277 nt
Filed under: uncultured bacterium
Lineage: Bacteria
Description: partial 16S ribosomal RNA
Rfam family: Bacterial small subunit ribosomal RNA
Source: RNAcentral